CAAGCUGAUAGGUCAUUUUCUGACUUAAAGCUUUGUUUGCAUGGCCUUAAUAUGUGUUCUUCCAUUGGAAUUAAUGGGAUUGUGUCCUGGCACCUAGAUUGGUUCCAGUCUGGUUUUUUAUUGACAUUUUCCUUUUCCUAAAGUAACCCCAGAACUUGUGAAAUCCUGGUGAAAAGAAAUGCUUCAUUUCUUACUUGACUUGGUUUUGAUGUUGAGUAGAAGGAAAUCCAUACUGCUUCUUCCAAAAUGGCUAUUCUCUUCACUCCUUCCCAACCCUCAUUUCUUCUUUCACCUUGAGCUGCAUUUGACAUGAACAUAAGCGAUGCACAUUAAAGUAACUGCUCACCUGAGCAAUCUGUGCUUUGUCAUUGUGGUUCUCUAAAUGAAAUUCAUAUGAAUUGACUAUAACAGUUACUAUGACUACAAAUGUACCAAAUCUGUCUACUGACUUUGAGCUGAAAAGAAGAAAGUUGACCCUUGAUGGAGAUGUUUAUAUCUUUCAUCUCAUUUACUGAGAUCUGGGGCGGGGGAAGAGGAGGCUGAGUUGAACCUGUGAUGUUAUCUGUGUAGGGUGCUUCCAGUGUUAAAACUCCCUUUAAUAUUGCAAAUCAGCACCUGCCUCAAAACUGUGAGCAUUAGAAAGUUGUCUGGGGCACUGAGAGAUUAAAUGACACGUCACACAGCUAGUAAAUAUCAAGCAUCAAAGGUCUUUGUGACAGCUCCCUAUAACACCCUUCAUGAUUUAAUCUGUGAAGCAAGUAGAAAGAGAUGUGUCAUAAAUAAGUAUGCUUGGAAACUGCAGGUAUCAUGUAAUUCCUGCCUUUGGGGUAACUAUCACAAUGAAAUUUUUCAAAAGGAGAAAAGGAAUCCGGUUCUCGUUUGUCCAGAGUUGAAUUUGGGCAUCUAAUUAUUUCUUUCAGUAUCAUCCAUGUUGAAAAUUUGGGACUAGGCACCAACCCUAUUUGUUCCUUUGCUGACCAAAGCAUUGCAUAGUCAGGCAAUCCAAAAUGCUUGUGUCUCAAGUAGUCCACCUGGUAUCCCACAUUCAUCUUGUCAAGAAGAGCAGCAUUAAAGAUUCUUUGUCAGAUAUCUGGGCACCUGGUAGAGAUCGGGGAUUGAUGGGCGUUAACAUGUUCUCUUGCUUUCCAGAAAAGUUGUUCUACAAGAAAUGUUGGUUGUGAAUUGGGCCAUAGGACUGAGGUGUGAGGAGUGUAUUACAAAUUUGGUAGACUAAAAAUUAUUGCCAUCUUGGUGUUCUUAACAAUAAAAGAUUCAUUUGUCAUGGCAUGGUGACAAUUCACAGAGCAGGAACUUUAGAACAGUUAUCAUUCCCUUCAUGCUUCCUCUUACUAGACUUCUAGGGAACCCAAGUAUUUGGGUAAGAGGAAGCAAGCAGGCAGGAAAAGCAGUACUGUUCAGUGGGUAGAACCCAAACUGUAAAUGUUGAAAUAAGUUAAGGAAACAUACAAGGUUGCUGCAGAAUGUCACUUUGAUGUUCUCAGAUUCCUGUGUUAUUAGAAACUCCAAAGUUCUAACUUGAGUAGGCGCUUUAUUAAAUGUUGAUUCAGCAAUUUUCUCUACCUCAGGAGGGUGCAGGGUGGUGCUAAGGGGCCAAGCAAGAAUGAUAGUUUAAAAAAAAAAAAAAAAAAGACCAGGUUUGGAUUUUGAUAAGGGUAAAUAGCCAAGAUAGUGACAAUAUCUCCUGCUUCUAAGUUUGUUCAGGGAAGAAGGUGAAGGUUGGCAUUAAGCUCUAUAGAAUAAGAUGUGUUAGUUAUUAUUAUGUUGGUUAUUUGGAAUUCAGGGUGAAACAGACUUGUUGGCUGGUGAGUUGGUUGGAGAUAGUAAAAAUUGGAGAGAUGCUUGACUUUUCAUACAGAACUCUCUUGUUUUCCAAAGGCUCAUCUUAUCAGUCAUACUUUUAUCCUAAUACACUCUUUUGUGCUAAAUUUAAAUUUAUGCUUGAAGGUGCUUUAUUUGUUAAAGAUAUGUAACUACUGAUGGGAAGAGCAUUUGUUAGCAAAUGGUGUUGUUGCCAUGGUUAUGAAAUUGUUCUGAUAAUCUAGAAGCUUCAUUACAAGACUAUCCUUUAGUAUGCCUCCUUGUUUUCGGGACACUGUGCUAAGCAUUCAGCAAAAGGUAGGCUCAGAAUUCAUAUAAGUGAAUAGUGUGCUCAUUGCCCUAACCUAGAAGUCCAUUUAUGAGACCUUGAGCAACUGUGCUGAUAAAAUCCUGGAGUAAUUGCACUUGAGUGAAAAAGGUAGAAAUGAUAUUACCAUCAUCAUUAGCAUGAAGAUUAUUGGAUCGGCAAGGGCAAAGAUUGUGAUAGAAGAACUCUAGGGUCCUUGUAACUUCAAUAACAUUUGCCACUUUAAUGCAGUAAUUUUUACACUUCCUGAAAUCUGGGAAUGGUAAUCACAUGUAAUUUGAAGAUAAGAACCAAAGACCUCUGUCUCUAGCAUCUUUUUGGGUCUUACUUCAAGAACUGAUAUGGGCAGAAAGCAUGCAGCAGCACAUGUUCCUGAAGUAGCCACAUGUAGAUGGAAGCAAAUAAGAGAAAACUGUAAGUAAUUCAGAAGGAAAAAAGAUGGCAAACUGCACUGACUUUUCAAGAGUAAAUGCCUAUGCUCCCGCAUCUCCAUAGGUUGCUGUGUGAUGUUUUUGAUGUGCCAUGGGAAGGAGAAGGGAGGCUGUGGAGGGCAGGUCAAAACAGCUUCCUAGUCACUAUUUCUUGGUCAUAAAAACAGCCAGUAUAUACUCAGGGAACUUUGCUUGGACUUUAAAUCUGAAUUCUACUCCGUACACCUGUCAUAGGCCAUUGAUCCAGAAUUUAGCUGAAACUAAGAAGACCUUACCUGAGAAGAGCCACUAAACUGUUUUAUACAUGGACUUCCUCUUAUUGUCAGUGGGGUGUGUCUUGGUGUUUGGUAGUUUCCAACUGACCACUGGGCUUCUGUUAGGUGGUUCCAGGGCAGAUACCUGGGGUUGUCAUUGCUUAGAUUGUGAGCAAAAACUGCCUUUCUGGCUUCCCAUUUCAAGAAUCAGUUAUCCCACUAGACCAGCAUAAGGCCAUGUGUAGUAGUUUGCCUGAUGAAGCUCUGUAAGAAGACUAUUUUUGUCUUGACUAUCCAUCUCUGGCCUUUUCCUCAGCCCUUUGAGUCUGAGAAUAUUAUUCAAUGGAAAAUCAUUUAGUGAGGGAGGGAAAAUGAUAGAUUUAACAAGAACUACAACUUUUCAACUCUGUCCAUAGAUCUUCCCUCUCUGUACUUCACAGCACUGUUUUGGGAAAGACAGAAGUAGAGGGGGAAAGAGUGACUAUGAUAUUUUUGUAAAGAAGACUGGAACUGGAGACAAUAGUGUGGGAUCUUUUUACAUUAUUUACUGACAAUUAAUUUCUUUGUCUUGACAGAAAUUGGCAGCAACUUGCUUCUUUCCCUGUUUAUUUAGGACUCAGGCAGAUGGUUUUUGACAUUGAUAAUUCUACUGCCAGAUUUUUUCUACCCAAAAAGUUUCAAAUGGGAAUGUUAUUUGUAUCUAGUCUCCUAAUGCUACUCCUAGGCAGUAGCAACAGAAUUUACCUUGCUGAAACAGGUGGAUUUUCCUAAGUCCCAAGGUGCCAGUUGUCUAAGAUCAAACUCAUUUGAGUAAGAAUCUGCAUGUGUAAAGACUAAUACCGUUGGAGACUUUUGUGACUUACCUAAAUGAAAAGUCUUCUUUGACCAGCAUGAGAAUGUGGUUUUGUAGUGUGUGUUACCCAUUGGUAUUCAUUUCUGAUUUAGGUUGACAUUGAGGUUUUGUACAGUAUUAUGUGGCUAUAAUGUCAGAUGCUGAACAAAGAAACCACGUGAUAUGAUGAAAUUUGUUUCAAAGUAUGGAAAAAUGCAUCCUCCAUUGGGCUAAGGAAAGACCAUAUCUACAAUACAGCUUUAUGUUUCUAGUAA
Vombatus ursinus (common wombat) is the source of this 3938-nucleotide long non-coding RNA. RefSeq lists it as uncharacterized. Lineage: Eukaryota; Metazoa; Chordata; Mammalia; Diprotodontia; Vombatidae. The transcript has 2 exons. The record is from RefSeq and is a predicted model, not a curated record.